Cavia porcellus (domestic guinea pig) is the source of this 101-nucleotide small nucleolar RNA. It matches the Rfam family "Small nucleolar RNA U13". NCBI's taxonomy places the organism in Eukaryota, Metazoa, Chordata, Mammalia, Rodentia, Caviidae. The record is from Rfam.
AUCCUUUGGUUCAUGAGCGUAAUGACUGAGUGCUUAUGCUGUGUGCGUGAGAUACGCCCACCUCAAAUCUUGUUAUGAUGUCAGAAUAUUACCCAUCUACU